This is a long non-coding RNA of Pomacea canaliculata, 543 nucleotides long. RefSeq lists it as uncharacterized. NCBI's taxonomy places the organism in Eukaryota, Metazoa, Mollusca, Gastropoda, Architaenioglossa, Ampullariidae. The record is from RefSeq and is a predicted model, not a curated record. The transcript has 3 exons.
GAAAAGCUUUCGUUAAUUUAGUCGCUGUAACAGGAACCAAACCUUGCAUAACCACCUGUGACGAUGAGAACGAUGAUGCUGUUGAUGCUCUUGAUGCUGGCUUUGGUCACUCUGUCUGGUACCUCGACGCUGCCAUGCUAUACCAGAGGAUCAAAGUGCUGGAUUUUUGGAUUUGGAGCAUUAUUUUCCCAUAGUUGCUGUCCAGGUCUGACGUGUCUACCUAGCCAUUCUAGUCCCAGGGUCUACAGAUGCAUGUCAUUUGAUGCCUUGUUCUGACAUCUGUAGCGGUCGACGGUUUAUGCGAGUAUAAAUUACAGAUGUUUUACUGCUUGGACUUGACAUCUCCACCUGCCGAACCUCUAAGCAAGUGUCAGUGUAAACAACGAAAUGGAGAAUACUUCACAUCACUUUAACUUGUUUGGAGAAAGGAGCAAAAGAUUGCUUUUCGGUACGAAAUAUCGGUUUCCGCCAUCUUGAAAUUUGGAUCUCGGGAUACGAUUUUUCCUACACUACUUUAAGUAAUAAUAAACCAAUUCAAACUCA